RNAcentral lists this transfer RNA (67 nucleotides) under Nabis apicalis. RNAcentral describes it as "tRNA-Ser". Lineage: Eukaryota; Metazoa; Arthropoda; Insecta; Hemiptera; Nabidae. The record is from RNAcentral.
AAAAGGUAUAAAUAAAGAAGAAGCUGCUAACUAUCUUCCUAGGCGGAUAAGUACCGUCUACCUUUUA